AUCUCUGCUAUCAGGUGACUAUUAUUGAGAGUCUUGUUGGAACAAAACGACGAGGAGACGCCGAAAACAAAUGUGCUCGAGUUGUCUAACGAUCUGUAUCACUGAUUCCUAUUGACAACUAAACCAACUAUGAAAGCAAUGUGCCUUCAGGCGAUGACUAAAGUUUAUGGAAAAUAUCACGAAGAGAUUGG
RNAcentral lists this long non-coding RNA (191 nucleotides) under Dendronephthya gigantea. RNAcentral's name for it is "uncharacterized LOC114544337". The record is from RNAcentral. Lineage: Eukaryota; Metazoa; Cnidaria; Anthozoa; Malacalcyonacea; Nephtheidae.